Molecule: small RNA, 27 nt
Filed under: Bombyx mori (domestic silkworm)
Lineage: Eukaryota; Metazoa; Arthropoda; Insecta; Lepidoptera; Bombycidae
Description: ovarian small RNA-12123
Source: RNAcentral
AGCGGAGGACGCCGGCUGUCGAAAAAA